AUUUAAAUAGCUUAUAAAGAGUAUAGCAUUGAAGAUGCUAGGGAAAUAAAUUUUAUUUUUAAAUA
Molecule: transfer RNA, 65 nt
Filed under: Aclees taiwanensis
Lineage: Eukaryota; Metazoa; Arthropoda; Insecta; Coleoptera; Curculionidae
Description: tRNA-Phe
Source: RNAcentral